CCAGGCAGAGAGGUAGUAUUAGAACCUUUACCAGGGCAGGAUGGAGUACACUAACACCAGACAGAGAACCAGGUGGAGAGGUGGAGUUAGAACCUUUACUGGGGCAGGAUGGAGUACACUAACACCAGACAGAGGACCAGGUGGAGAGGUGGAGUUAGAACCUUUACCGGGGCAGGAUGGAGUACACUAACACCAGACAGAGGACCAGGUGGAGAGGUGGAGUUAGAACCUUUACCGGGGCAGGAUGGAGUACACUAACACCAGACAGAGGACCAGGUGGAGAGGUGGAGUUAGAACCUUUACUGGGGCAGGAUGGAGUACACUAACACCAGACAGAGGACCAGGUGGAGAGGUGGAGUUAGAACCUUUACUGGGGCAGGAUGGAGUACACUAACACCAGACAGAGGACCAGGUGGAGAGGUGGAGUUAGAACCUUUACUGGGGCAGGAUGGAGUACACUAACACCAGACAGAGAACCAGGUCAUUCAUACAACAUAACCGUACUUCUAUAGACCCCAAACAUUAAUACAGAUAGAAGACUUGGUGUUAGUCAUUCGCUACAAAACAAUCUAUACACUUUUAAUCUAUAUAACCCAAACUUUAAAUACAGCCCAUAUAACAAAGUGGUGCAUAACUAGACCCCAAAUAUUAGUAGCCGUGUUUGUGUUGGUCCGGAUCCUUCAUAGCGGCAGCCCAGCGGAAGGGUUUUGUUAGCUUUGUCAGCGUGAUCCUUUGCACCGGCUGAAGGCAUUUAGCUUCUCACCGCAUAGAAUUGGACUCCCUUAGCAAGCCAUCGUCCUUGGGAAAUGCCGACGCCUCAGGAAACUUGUUGAUGUGAAGGGUCAGAAAAGUCAUUGUUUGUGGAAAUCAGUAAAGAGACAGACAGGCAGGCAGGCAGGCAGGCAGACAGAUGAGGCAUUUUCAGUAGUGUCACCGACAAGUCAAACGAUCGUAAACAAAACAGUAUUUUUACUGAAAACGAAUUACAGCCCCGCUGCCAGACGACAGGCACCACCGCCCAGGAAUACCUGGUGUACAUCACCCUUCAGACCCAAAUACUCAUGGUGCACACACUGUUGGAAGUAGGAAGAUGGAGGAAUUUGACGAUUUGUUCCUAGAGGAUGACCACAGACCACCUGUGCUUAAUUCUUUGUCUAUGCCCCUCAGCCAGCGGCACAGAUGACUCCUGGGUGGCAGGAGUUGUGUUUACAGUUUGCAUGUAUGAGUUCUGAGCCAACUCUAAUUUUGUCCUUGUUUUAGUUUGGUGUCAACUAUAAUACUGCAAAAAUAUAUAUUUCCUCGCCCGCACAUGAUGAUUAUGUUAAGAGAUGAUGCAAGAAACGCACCAACAUACGAACAAACAGCUCUGGUCCGGGUUUAAAGCCACGGCCACGAAACAGUCGGACAACGCUGCCGGGCGGUCAGACAGAUGCCAAACGUCAUCAGAAAACGCAUCAUCUUCCCUUCUUUCCCUUGCCUUGUGGCAUUUUCACUAAAGGUUCUUUUUAAUGUGAAAUGACAAGAAAAUAAAUAUUUAUUUAAACAACAACAACUUUCUGGGUCUCAAAGAGCAUUAUGUUCUAUAUUUUAUUCUUCAAAAUACAUUCCUGCGGGAACUUGGCUGCUGUGUGCCGUGGUUACUACUCGCUGAUUGGACGAUGAAAAGCGUUUGCUGGCGUUUGCUCGCGAUUGCCUUUUGGGCAAACACGUCACGGAGGACGUUUGAUCCCGUUUGCGUCUGUUUGCUCUCAUUUGAGUUGUCGGUGACACUACUGAAAAUACCUAUACAUAGAUAGAUAGACAAACAUAGAUAGACAGACGGACUUGAGAACCAGAGACAAAAAAAUACAUACAGAAAACUUAAACAAAACAAAUAAAAGAUAAAGAUAAGUAAAUAGAGAUAAGACGAGACAAGAGGAAACGAGACGAAACAAGACAAAACGAGACGAGAGACAAAAUAACAGACAGACAGACAGAAUAGAAGAUAAGAGAGAAACAAACAAACAAACAAACAAACAUACAAGGAAAACAGGAAAACCACACGACAGACAAACACAGACAGAUAAACAAACACACAAACACACAAACAAGCAGAAGAUAAGAGAGAAACAAAGAAACAAACAUACAUACAUUCCUCCCGAAAUUGACCUCUCUUUGGACACUCCUUUGACCUCUAUUCAGGAGCAGUAAGUAGCGGGCUUUUUUUUAUAUAUAUAUUUUCCUUUACGCCCUUGAACUGUCUCCUUAGCUGUAAAAAAAAAUAAUAAUACAAAAUACAGGAAAACACAAGACAGACAACCACACAGACGAACGAACAAACACACAAACACACAAACAAACACAUAUGCCGCAGGUGGUCUUAACAGCUGUUGUGCUUCUCUUUGCAGACGGACAGUGCUUGUAAAGUUAAGAGAGAGGUAUUGGUUGAACCGUCACCCCGUACACACCAACCCACCCCACACCCCACAGAGAGAGUCCCGUUCUUGCACCCCAGAAACCCCCGUAGCCAUGUAGUCAGAUCCCUCCCCUCCACACCCCUUCCCUUCCCUCCCUUUCCCUCGUCCGUAUGUGUGUGUGUGUGUUUGUGUUUGUGUUUACCCCCUUGGUCUGUUGGUGUGUUUGUCUGUAAUCUCCCUCCCUUUGUCUGUAUUUCUCUCCCUUUUUUCAUAUGUUUUUGUUUCUCUCCCUUUGUUUGGUCUGUUUUAUCUCCCUUUGUUUGUGUGUUCAUGUGUUUGUAUCUCCCUCCCUUUGUCUGUCUGUAUCUCUCUCCCUUUGUUUAUCUGUUUGUAUUCCUCCCUUCAUUUGGUCUGUUUUAUCUCCCUUUGUUUGUGUGUUCAUGUGUUUGUAUCUCCCUCCCUUUGUCUGUAAUCUCCCUUUCUUUGUUUUCUCCCUUCAUUUGGUCUGUUUUAUCUCCCUUUGUUUGUGUGUUCGUGUGUUUGUAUCUCCCUCCCUUUGUCUGUAAUCUCCCUCCCUUUGUAUCUCUCUCCCUUUGUCUAUUCAUGUUUGUUGUUCUCCCUUCAUUUGGUCUUUUUUAUCUCCCUUUGUUUGUUUGUUUGUGUGUUUGUAUCUCCCUCCCUUUGUCUGUCUGUAUCUCUCUCCCUUUGUCUCUGUAUCUCUCUCCCUUUGUUUGUUUAUCUGUUUGUAUUUCUCCCUUUGUUUGUUUGUGUGUUUGUAUCUCCCUCCCUUUGUCUGUCUGUAUCUCUCUCCCUUUGUUUGUUUAUCUGUUUGUAGUUCCCUCCCUUUAUUUGGUCUUUUUAUCUCCCUUUGUUUGUCUGUUCAUCUGUUUAUCUCCCUCCCUUUGUGUGUAUUUCUCUCCCUUUGCUCAUCUGUUUGUAUUUCUCCCUUCAUUUGGUCUGUUUUAUCUCCCUUUCUUUGCCUGUUGGUCUAUUUUUGUCUCCCUUUGUCCCCUCCCUUUGUUCACCUAUUUAUCUCCUCCCUUUGUUAGUAUGUGUGUGUGUUUAUCUCCCUUUGUUUAGUCUGUCUUCCCCCUUUCUAGUUAGUGUGUGUUUCCUUUUCUCCCUUCCUCCCCAUUCUCAUUUCCUUCUUUUCUUUAUUCUUUUCUUCCUCUUUAUCUAGGUUUGUGUGGUGUUCUGUUUCCUCUCUUCCUUCCUUCUUCUCUCGUUUGCCUUGUCUCCCCUUCAUCUGUUCCCCCUCCAUGCCUCCUCUCCUUCCUUCCUUCCCAUUCUCAUUUUCUUUAUUCUCUUCUUUAUUCUUGUCUCCCUCUUUAUCUAGGUUUGUGUGGUAUUCUGUUUCCUCUCAUCCUUCCUUCUCCUCUCGUUCAUCUGUUCCCUCUCCUUCCUUCUUCCUUAUUCUCAUUUACUUCAUUCUCUUCUUUAUUUUUGUCUUCCUCUUUAUCUAGGUUUGUGUGGUAUUCUGUUUCCUCUCUUCCUUCCUUCCUCUCUCGUUCAUUUCGUCUCCCCCUCAUCUGUUCCCUGUCCCCUCACACACGCACACACACACAGCGUUUAGAGAUGUAGAGUUGAGUAGUUUAUUUCAGACACUUAAGAGUUUAUGUAGUGUUGUAUUGAUGUAGAUUUUGAGUUGGUUGUCACUGUGAUUAGUCUAGAGUUUGAUUUCGUGCUUCUUUUGUUUUUGU
Eriocheir sinensis (Chinese mitten crab) is the source of this 4096-nucleotide long non-coding RNA. RefSeq lists it as uncharacterized. The transcript has 3 exons. The record is from RefSeq and is a predicted model, not a curated record. NCBI's taxonomy places the organism in Eukaryota, Metazoa, Arthropoda, Malacostraca, Decapoda, Varunidae.